Molecule: ribosomal RNA, 253 nt
Filed under: uncultured bacterium
Lineage: Bacteria
Description: partial 16S ribosomal RNA
Rfam family: Bacterial small subunit ribosomal RNA
Source: RNAcentral
UACGAGGGGGGCGAGCGUUGUUCGGAAUUAUUGGGCGUAAAGCGCGCGCAGGCGGUCUUCCAAGUCAGUGGUGAAAGCCCGGAGCUCAACUCCGGAACUGCCAUUGAAACUGUGAGACUUGAGUAUGAGAGAGGUGAGUGGAAUUCCCAGUGUAGAGGUGAAAUUCGUAGAUAUUGGGAAGAACACCGGUGGCGAAGGCGGCUCACUGGCUCAUUACUGACGCUCAGGCGCGAAAGCGUGGGGAUCAAACAGG